This 332-nucleotide ribosomal RNA is filed under the name uncultured eukaryote. RNAcentral's name for it is "partial 18S ribosomal RNA". It matches the Rfam family "Eukaryotic small subunit ribosomal RNA", at positions 592 to 976 of the family's 1831-position model. The record is from RNAcentral.
CAAUAGCGUAUAUUAAAGUUGUUGCAGUUAAAAAGCUCGUAGUUGAAUUUCGGGUCCCCGCGCUCGGCGCUUCAUUGUGCCGUCGUGGCGUCCCUCCUCGCCGUAAGGCGUCCUUUACUGUGAAAAAAUUAGAGUGUUCAAAGCAGGCAAUCGCUUGAAUACAUUAGCAUGGAAUAAUAAGAUAGGAUCUUGUCUAUUUUGUUGGUUGCGGACAACGAUAAUGAUUAAUAGGGAUAGUUGGGGGUGUCCGUAUUGAGCUGUCAGAGGUGAAAUUCUUGGAUUUGCUCAAGACGAACUACUGCGAAAGCAUUCACCAAGGAUGUUUUCAUUAA